RNAcentral lists this long non-coding RNA (760 nucleotides) under Equus caballus (horse). Its description in RNAcentral is "lncRNA (ENSECAG00000051990.1)". The record is from RNAcentral. Lineage: Eukaryota; Metazoa; Chordata; Mammalia; Perissodactyla; Equidae.
ACAGUGUCUGUGGGUCAAGAAUUCAGAGUAGCGCAGCUGAGUGGCCAUGGCUCAGAGUCCCUCAGGAGUUUGCAGUCAAGGCCUUAGAUGGAGCUGCAAUCAUCUGAAGGUGUGACUCGAGAUGGAGGGCCUGCUUCCAGUGCAGAUGGAGUGGCUCACUGACAUGGCUGAAUCCGGCCAACUUCCCAGCACAUAGUAGGUUCUUAGUAAAUGUUUAGUGAGCACACGAACAAUGAAUAAUAUGUGACUCUGAGCAGUAAGGGGAGCCAAAGUCCUCGACAGUUAUCAACAGAUCAUAUUGAAUGGAGUGGACCUGAAGAAGACAAACUCAGUUCUCAGGAGGGAGUUACUGCAGGGCACCAACUGGAGUGAACUGGAUUGAAGAGCUUCAACUGUGCAGAUCAUGUUCCAGGCCAAGCUGACUCCAAUUCCCAAGGCUUCAGAACCUCUAGUGAAAACCUCCUCUGCACUCAGAGCUGGACCAGCCCCACAGAAUAUGUUUUAAGAACUCCUUAAAAAGAUACACAAAGUACAGAAUGAUUCAGCCGUUUGCCACAUGUCACCGUUCCAAGAGCUCACAGAGGUGGCCUCUGAUAAGCCUUUGCCAGCUUUUUAAGUAUGGAACCAGGUAAUAAUAUGAGUUCCCCCUCAGAGUUCUCAGGAGGCAUAACUAAUAAUAUUCUUGGUAAGCACUGUACAGACCAUAAAAGCCACAUGCAUCCAGCAAGGAUAUUCGAGAGCUUCAGAAAAUCACUUCAUG